GCAAGACCUUCCAAGGCGCAUGCGCGAGACCGGGAUUGGCGCUUCGCAGGAGGCCCGCGCUGUGCCUGCCCCCGAACCCCGCCUCUCCACUUCUGCGGAGCCGGAGUUGACUGCCCUCUCGAGUUGCUCAAACUAACCUCUCUUCAGCUGCGACGGCGUUGAGUCGUCUUUGGGCUGGCGACAACACGUUGCGUUUGGUGGGAUCACUCGUCUGUCUCCUCGGAGGAGUCAGAGGCUAGCACAGGGGUAUUGGUCGCUCGCUGCUCGUCUGAUCCGACGGAGAGCCUGGAGGAGCGCCGAGUAAUGGAUGCCGUGGCCCCGCCCCAUCCCGUUUAGAAGGGCACUGGAGACGUGAUAAUAAUAGCCCCAUUUCAAAGAGGAGAACACUGAAGCCCAGGCAGUUCAAGACGUCAUCCAGCCGCUCGUCCGGGGAGCACACCCUAAUCCAAUUCCUGACCAAACCGGGCCCAGCCACACUUUCUGUCCUGGUGACCUGGUGUGUGUCAAAAAGUUCCAAAAACAAGGACUCACUCCUGCUUGGAAAGGACACUCCCCCGUUCCCUUACACCAGGGGAUGUUGCAGGAAACGCCGCCUGCCUAAUUAGCAGUGGCCAUAAUCUAUCUGCUUCUCCUUUUAACCAGUCUCUGCUCUCUACCCUAAACCGUCAGUCUCCUACCAGGCACCCAACAAUACUUGGCUGGCCUGCACCUUGUGCCUCACCCGCUGCGUCAAUGGGACUGACUUGGACCUGUCCCGUGUGUGUUGCUUCGUGUUCUUCCCCAGGUCAGUGUGUACAGCGGACCAGAAGGACGACAUCUCAUCGCUUCCCCCGAGCUACACCCCAGGUCCCGUGGAGCUGUGCCCCUCCGUGUACCCCUCCUGGCCAGCAUUAGCGCAGCUGGGUCAGCAGCUCUCAGCACUGCAGCCGUGGUCAGGGGCGAAACUGGACUAACAUCCCUGUCUCAAGUAGAUGCCAAUUUGGGAAAUCUCCAGUCUGCCAUAAAUAUGUUACAUACUCAGGUAGAAUCCUCAGCUGAAGUUCUUCUCCAGAACCGCUGAGGCUUAGAUCUAGUGUUCCUUUCCCAGGGAGGCUUGUGUGCAGCGUUGGGGGAAAGCUGUUGUUUUUAUGCUAACCAAUUUGUCAUUAAAGACACUCUUCAAAGGGUUUGAAAAAAAUUAGAUAAACGGCAACAGGAGCAGGAGAAGAGUACCCCAUGGUACCAAAGCAUGUUUUUUUU
Saimiri boliviensis boliviensis (Bolivian squirrel monkey) is the source of this 1239-nucleotide long non-coding RNA. RefSeq lists it as uncharacterized. The record is from RefSeq and is a predicted model, not a curated record. NCBI's taxonomy places the organism in Eukaryota, Metazoa, Chordata, Mammalia, Primates, Cebidae.